RNAcentral lists this ribosomal RNA (253 nucleotides) under uncultured bacterium. RNAcentral describes it as "partial 16S ribosomal RNA". It matches the Rfam family "Bacterial small subunit ribosomal RNA", at positions 524 to 776 of the family's 1533-position model. The record is from RNAcentral.
UACGAAGGGGGCUAGCGUUGCUCGGAAUCACUGGGCGUAAAGGGUGCGUAGGCGGGUUUUUAAGUCAGGGGUGAAAUCCUGGAGCUCAACUCCAGAACUGCCUUUGAUACUGAAGAUCUUGAGUUCGGGAGAGGUGAGUGGAACUGCGAGUGUAGAGGUGAAAUUCGUAGAUAUCUGGAGGAACACCGGUGGCGAAGGCGGCAUCCUGGACCAACACUGACACUGAGGAGCGAAAGCCAGGGGAGCAAACGGG